UCGAGAAUUUUUCACAAUGGGGGAAACCCUGAUGGAGCGACGCCGCGUGGAGGAUGAAGGCCUUCGGGUUGUAAACUCCUGUCAUGCGGGAACAAGAAAGUGAUAGUACCGCAAGAGGAAGAGACGGCUAACUCUGUGGCAGCAGCCGCGGUAAUACAGAGGUCUCAAGCGUUGUUCGGAUUCAUUGGGCGUAAAGGGUGCGUAGGUGGCGAUGUAAGUCUGGUGUGAAAUCUCAGGGCUCAACCUUGAAAUUGCACCGGAUACUGCGUUGCUUGAGGAUUGUAGAGGAGAGUGGAAUUCACGGUGUAGCAGUGAAAUGCGUAGAUAUCGGGAGGAAGACCAGUUGCGAAGGCGACUCUCUGGGCAACUCCUGACACUGAGGCACGAAGGCUAGGGGAGCAAACG
RNAcentral lists this ribosomal RNA (405 nucleotides) under uncultured prokaryote. Its description in RNAcentral is "bacterial SSU rRNA". It matches the Rfam family "Bacterial small subunit ribosomal RNA", at positions 355 to 774 of the family's 1533-position model. The record is from RNAcentral.